CAAAAGGCAGGUUAUCUUUUCUUCCUUAAAGUCCAGUUUUCCAAAGGUACCAGCACACCUACCACUGCAGGAGCAGGACCCAAACCCCACAUUCUCUCUUGAGUUGAGGAAAUCACUUACACCUAAAGCAGAGCCCUGCUGCUCUAGAAUGAUGUGAGACGGUUUACUAUGAAAAAGAUCUUCCUUUUCUCCCCUUUGCCCAUUGGAUCGUACCUGAUGCUUUCGAAAGCACUGCCUGGGGCAAAGGCUUGGGAUCUCUGGAUCCAAAGAGUUGCAGAUAUGGUGGCCCCUCUCCAGCCUGCCCCAAAGCUUCCCUACAUACCAGCACAGAUUUUCACUCUGUAUGACUGAUUUACUCAAAGUCCAACCCACAUGGGGCAGAGGGCUUUGUGCUGGCUUUCUACACAACAGGGUAUUUGGUUCAGAAAAGAUCACUGUGGACAGACAGGAGGCUUUUUCUUCACCUUUCAUUUUAGAAGAAAGAAAUCUGAAACCUGCUGCACAGUUGGGACUGAUGAAGGCAGAAAAAACGUGUGGUCAACCAGUUACUGUGCAGAGAACCAAAGCCACCGCAAAGAUCUGAUGAAUACUGUGGACAGAGUCACUAUGCAGGCUGGUGGGGCAAGUGAUGUUUUGGCACACACAGACAGCUUCCAAAGGAUGCACUUCCUCUCAUGCGGGGAGAACCUCUGGCUUGGAAGUCGGGGGCUAUGUCUGUUCUUCCUGCCUCUUGGAGCGAUGGAAGCUGUGAACCUAACUGCAAUACCAGCAGCGGGAAGUGAUCUACCUGCCCUCUCUUCCAGUAGUAAAAAGUCAUGGUUCUCUGGUUUAAUGAAUGUGUGCCUGCUGUCAUUCCCUGCAUCAGGGCUGAACCAAGAAUCCAGCUCACUGCUAAGGAGAGCUGUGCUGCUUGAGA
Molecule: long non-coding RNA, 916 nt
Organism: Chelonia mydas (Green sea turtle)
Lineage: Eukaryota; Metazoa; Chordata; Testudines; Cheloniidae
Exons: 4
Source: RefSeq, a predicted model, not a curated record